Molecule: ribosomal RNA, 460 nt
Filed under: uncultured bacterium
Lineage: Bacteria
Description: partial 16S ribosomal RNA
Rfam family: Bacterial small subunit ribosomal RNA
Source: RNAcentral
CCUACGGGUGGCAGCAGUGAGGAAUAUUGGUCAAUGGACGAGAGUCUGAACCAGCCAAGUAGCGUGAAGGAUGACUGCCCUAUGGGUUGUAAACUUCUUUUAUAUGGGAAUAAAAUGUUCCACGUGUGGGAUUUUGUAUGUACCAUAUGAAUAAGGAUCGGCUAACUCCGUGCCAGCAGCCGCGGUAAUACGGAGGAUCCGAGCGUUAUCCGGAUUUAUUGGGUUUAAAGGGAGCGUAGGUGGAUUGUUAAGUCAGUUGUGAAAGUUUGCGGAUCAACCGUAAAAUUGCAGGUGAAACUGGCAGUCUUGAGUACAGUAGAGGUGUGCGGAAUUCGUGGUGUAGCGGUGAAAUGCUUAGAUAUCACGAAGAACUCCGAUUGCGAAGGCAGUUCACUGGACUGCAACUGACACUGAGGCUCGAAAGUGUGGGUAUCAAACAGGAUUAGAUACCCUUGUAGUC